This 301-nucleotide ribosomal RNA is filed under the name uncultured bacterium. RNAcentral describes it as "partial 16S ribosomal RNA". It matches the Rfam family "Bacterial small subunit ribosomal RNA", at positions 509 to 807 of the family's 1533-position model. The record is from RNAcentral.
CAGUCGCCGCGGGAACACGUAGGGUGCAAGCGUUAAUCGGAAUUACUGGGCGUAAAGCGUGCGCAGGCGGUUAUAUAAGACAGAUGUGAAAUCCCCGGGCUCAACCUGGGAACUGCAUUUGUGACUGUAUAGCUAGAGUACGGCAGAGGGGGAUGGAAUUCCGCGUGUAGCAGUGAAAUGCGUAGAUAUGCGGAGGAACACCGAUGGCGAAGGCAAUCCCCUGGGCCUGUACUGACGCUCAUGCACGAAAGCGUGGGGAGCAAACAGGAUUAGAUACCCCUGUAGUCCCUGUCUCUUAUAC